UACGGGGCGCNNNNGGCGCCAAAACUUUACAAUGCUGGCAACAGCGAUAAGGGAACCUCGAGUGCCAGGUUACAAAUCUGGCUGUCGAGAUGCCUAAAAAGCAUUUCAUAGCAAGGGCCGGGCAAGACCGGUGCCAGCCGCCGCGGUAACACCGGCGGCUNGAGUGGUAACCGUUAUUAUUGGGUCUAAAGGGUCUGUAGCCGGCCGGAUAAGUCUCUUGAGAAAUCUGGCAGCUUAACUGUCAGGCUUUCAGGAGAUACUGUCUGGCUCGAGGCCGGGAGAGGUGAGAGGUACUUCAGGGGUAGGGGUGAAAUCUUGUAAUCCUUGAAGGACCACCAGUGGCGAAGGNGNCUCACCAGAACGGACCUGACGGCAAGGGACGAAAGCUAGGGGCACGAACCGGAUUAGAUACCCGGGUAGUCCUAGCCGUAAACGAUACUCGCUAGGUGUCGGCCACGGUGCGACCGUUGUCGGUGCCGUAGGGAAGCCGUGAAGCGAGCCACCUGGGAAGUACGGCCGCAAGGCNGAAACUUAAAGGAAUUGGCGGGGGAGCACCACAACGGGUGGAGCUUGCGGUUUAAUUGGAUUCAACGCCGGAAAUCUUACCGGGACCGACAGCAAUAUGAAGGCCAGGCUGAAGACUUUGCCGGAUUAGCUGAGAGGUGGUGCNUGGCCGUCGUCAGUUCGUACUGUGAAGCAUCCUGUUAAGUCAGGCAACGAGCGAGACCCACGCCCACAGUUGCCAGCGUACUCUCUGGAGUGACGGGUACACUGUGGGGACCGCCGCUGCUAAAGCGGAGGAAGGAAUGGGCAACGGUAGGUCAGUAUGCCCCGAAUAUCCCGGGCUACACGCGAGCUACAAUGGUUGGUACAAUGGGUAUCUAGCCCGAAAGGGGACGGGAAUCUCCUAAAACCAAUCUUAGUUCGGAUUGAGGGCUGCAACUCGCCCUCAUGAAGCUGGAAUCCGUAGUAAUCCGGUUUCAACAGAACGCGGUGAAUACGUCCCUNNUCCUUGCACACACCG
This 1024-nucleotide ribosomal RNA is filed under the name uncultured archaeon SJD-102. RNAcentral's name for it is "bacterial SSU rRNA". It matches the Rfam family "Archaeal small subunit ribosomal RNA", at positions 324 to 1348 of the family's 1478-position model. The record is from RNAcentral.